Molecule: ribosomal RNA, 200 nt
Filed under: uncultured bacterium
Lineage: Bacteria
Description: partial 16S ribosomal RNA
Rfam family: Bacterial small subunit ribosomal RNA
Source: RNAcentral
AGAGUUUGAUCCUGGCUCAGGACGAACGCUGGCGGCGUGCUUAAGACAUGCAAGUCGAGCGGAGAUGAGCUUCGGUUCAUCUUAGCGGCGAACGGGUGAGUAACACGUGGGUAAUCUGCCCCACUCUCUGGGAUAACAGGCCGAAAGGCUUGCUAAUACCGGAUAAGCCCACGGCCCUGCAUGGGGCUGAGGGAAAAGGC